This 1493-nucleotide long non-coding RNA is filed under the name Parus major (Great Tit). Its description in RNAcentral is "lncRNA (ENSPMJG00000017900.1)". Lineage: Eukaryota; Metazoa; Chordata; Aves; Passeriformes; Paridae. The record is from RNAcentral.
CGGGGGAGCAUCAAUCAGCCCUAAUUCCUCGUGGGGAAGAGCAGUGGGGCUCUCAAGCACACGGGUACCAGAACCCACAGACGUGUGGCAAUGACACAUGGCACUGCAGCCUUGGCUCCACAGGGAGCAGGCACUUGAGGUGACAUUGCCAAAGGGGCUCUGCCUGGAAAAGGACCGGGCCCCAGGGGUGAUGCUGCCACAGGACGAGCCAUAGGACAUGGACACCUGAGGUGACACCGGCACAGGGACAGCCUUGGCUGCGCCGGACACCUGAGGAGACCGGGGCACGGACAGCACCCCCCGGGCUUCCGCGGCCGCCCCCUCCCCUCCGGUUACCUGCGGUGCUCCCCGCUCCGCUCCUGCCGCCCCCGCUGCCGCUGUGGCCGCGGUACGAGCCCCGCACUCCGGCCAGCCCCGCUGCCCGUCCCGCCGCGGCUCCCGCCCGUCGCCACGGUAACGCGGACGGCGGCGGGCGAGGCGGGAAGGCGGCCGGGACAGGGCCGGGACAGGGCCGGGACAGGCCCGGGACAGGGCCGAGAACUGCCCCUAUGGGCGCAGGGGGAGCGGCGCGGACAUCCCGCGGUCACUCCCUGCGUCCCUCCUUCGAUCCGACGUGCCAUUACCACCUUUCUUUCCUUGCUGCCUGAUUCACCCAGCACUGAAGCUGAAUGACACCGGGCACAGUAUUUCAUUGAAGAGAAAACACUGCCAUGCUGCUUUGCCUGUGACAAUCAAAGGCAGGAAUCUUGACAGGAGCUUCUUAAGGAAUCCAUGUGAGAUGGAUGUGUGUGCCUCCACUGGAGAGAAGACUAAUUCUGCUCACAGAGACCCUUCCUACUCUUAAGUCAUCUUUUGGAGAUAGAUUUUUUCACCUUGUUUUCUGAAGUUAAUAUUGCUGAGUGCCAUGAUUGAGACAUUUUACCUGGGAAAUGGGUUUUAGAUUCCAAUGGACAGCUUAUUUUGGUGUGUGCUAUGGAGACUGGGCCACCUGCAUUUUGCAUUUAACUCUGUUUUGGUAGGAGGCGUCCCAGGUAUUCCUCAGAGAAUGACACAGCCUUGCCUGUGGAGAAGCAUGAGGCUGAGUGGAAGUGGGAAAUAACAGUGCUUUGGCACAACUUCUCAGCAUCUUCUCUUGUGCCACGUGCAGAAAUUAAGGCUUUCCAGGUACUUGCCAGUGAAUAAGCAGAUCUGCUCUUACAACUCAGCGCUACCACUCAUACAAACUGUGGUAUACCCUGAUGUUUAUUGCUCCACACACUACCUAACAGCUAUAUGAAACAGCAUAAAAAUGUGCAAUCUAGUGCUUGGUGUGGCUUGGUCACUUAAUUACAAAGGGUUUGAAGGCACUGAGCAUGGGGAGUUAGAAGUACUUAAUAGUGGAUGAAAAGUUUCCUUUUGACUAUCUUUGACUAUCAGUCAGAUGUGAGCUCUGAGCUUUGCUGCUGGAAUAGCUCUUGAAUAAAAUACCAAUAUACUUUCUACCUCCUUGGUUG